Non-coding RNA from Paramuricea clavata, 168 nucleotides. The record is from the annotation of a GenBank genome assembly. NCBI's taxonomy places the organism in Eukaryota, Metazoa, Cnidaria, Anthozoa, Malacalcyonacea, Plexauridae.
UGCUGUAAUUAUGGCAAAACUAUUUUUUGGCAUCAAUGUGGCAUCCAAUCUUUGUCUUUGUCAAAAGAUCGGCUGCUCAUGUUUAGCUGGUAUUUACAAUUGAGCGGAGGACGAGGCAGUCACUACUACGACAUUGAUGCCAAAAAAGAGUUUUGCCAUAUUACAGCA